This 400-nucleotide unclassified non-coding RNA is filed under the name uncultured fungus. RNAcentral describes it as "sequence contains ITS1". Lineage: Eukaryota; Fungi. The record is from RNAcentral.
ACGUCAUCCCCACCUUCCUCCGGUUUGUCACCGGCAGUCUCCCUAGAGUGCCCUUGCGUAGCAACUAGGGACAAGGGUUGCGCUCGUUGCGGGACUUAACCCAACAUCUCACGACACGAGCUGACGACAGCCAUGCAGCACCUGUGUUCCGAUUCCCUUUCGGGCACCCCCACCUCUCAGCAGGGUUCCGGACAUGUCAAGGGUAGGUAAGGUUGUUCGCGUUGCAUCGAAUUAAUCCACAUCAUCCACCGCUUGUGCGGGUCCCCGUCAAUUCCUUUGAGUUUUAACCUUGCGGCCGUACUCCCCAGGCGGUCAACUUCACGCGUUAGCUACGGUACCAAGGAAUCGCUUCCCCAACACCCAGUUGACAUCGUUUAGGGCGUGGACUACCAGGGUAUCU